Eimeria necatrix is the source of this 73-nucleotide non-coding RNA. The record is from Rfam. NCBI's taxonomy places the organism in Eukaryota, Apicomplexa, Conoidasida, Eucoccidiorida, Eimeriidae.
GCAGGCAUGGUCUAGUGGCUAUGACGCUCGCCUCACACGCGAGAGAUCCCGGGUUCGAUCCCCGGUGCCUGUA